GAUGAACGCUAGCGGGAGGCCUAACACAUGCAAGCCGAGCGGUAUAGAAUCUUCGGAUUUUAGAGAGCGGCGUACGGGUGCGGAACACGUGUGCAACCUACCUUUAUCUGGAGGAUAGCCUUUCGAAAGGAAGAUUAAUACUCCAUAAUAUAUUGAUUGGCAUCAAUUAAUAUUGAAAGCUCCGGCGGAUAGAGAUGGGCACGCGCAAGAUUAGUUAGUUGGUGAGGUAACGGCUCACCAAGACGAUGAUCUUUAGGGGCCUGAGAGGGUGAUCCCCCACACUGGUACUGAGACACGGACCAGACUCCUACGGGAGGCAGCAGUGAGGAAUAUUGGACAAUGGGUGCAAGCCUGAUCCAGCCAUCCCGCGUGAAGGACGACUGCUCUAUGGGUUGUAAACUUCUUUUGUAUAGGGAUAAACCUCUCCUCGUGAGGAGAGCUGAAGGUACUAUACGAAUAAGCACCGGCUAACUCCGUGCCAGCAGCCGCGGUAAU
This 495-nucleotide ribosomal RNA is filed under the name uncultured bacterium. Its description in RNAcentral is "bacterial SSU rRNA". It matches the Rfam family "Bacterial small subunit ribosomal RNA", at positions 28 to 524 of the family's 1533-position model. The record is from RNAcentral.